RNAcentral lists this non-coding RNA (60 nucleotides) under Schistosoma mansoni. Lineage: Eukaryota; Metazoa; Platyhelminthes; Trematoda; Strigeidida; Schistosomatidae. The record is from RNAcentral.
GUCAUAACUCCCCCUGUAGCUACUGCUGGUCCCAAGCCCAGGUAAAGGAGGAGGGUUGGG